GCCCAUUCUGAAGAACUGUCGCCCUGCUACUGGCUUGGUUCUUGGGACAGCCCCCGUUUGAGAGCUGCUCGUGUGGGCUCUGGAAUUUGCUGCCACAUCUCUUCCCUGGUUCAUAGCCUGGUCCAGGCUCAGACUCAGCAACAGAACUUAGACCCUGGGUCUUGGUUUACAUUAGAAUAUGAGGCAGAUGACAAGAGUGACCGUGCUCCUGACCUUGGGUACUUUGAGUCUUGCUAAGACCUCCCAGCCCAUCUUCAUUGACUCAUACGAAGGACAAGAGGUGAACAUAUCCUGUAACCACACCACGAUAGCUACAAAUGACUAUAUCUUCUGGUAUCGACAUUUCCCCAACCAGGGACCACAAUAUAUCAUUCAAGGAUAUAAGACAAACGUGGAAAAUGAAGUGGCAUCUCUGUUCAUUCCUACUGACAGGAAGGUCAGCACCCUGAGUCUGCCCCGGGCUUCCCUGAGAGACAGCGCUGUGUACUACUGCAUCGUGAGGAUGCACACUGAGACAGAUGAGGCUGCACCUGUGCAGUAUCCCCGGGUGGGGUGGGAGUCACAGCCCAGUGGAUCCCCAAAGUAG
Molecule: non-coding RNA, 586 nt
Organism: Dama dama (fallow deer)
Lineage: Eukaryota; Metazoa; Chordata; Mammalia; Artiodactyla; Cervidae
Source: the annotation of a RefSeq genome assembly